RNAcentral lists this ribosomal RNA (449 nucleotides) under uncultured bacterium. Its description in RNAcentral is "bacterial SSU rRNA". It matches the Rfam family "Bacterial small subunit ribosomal RNA", at positions 355 to 825 of the family's 1533-position model. The record is from RNAcentral.
UCAAGAAACUUCCACAAUGGGCGAAAGCCUGAUGGAGCGACGUCGCGUGAUGGACGAAGUGCUUCGGCACGUAAACAUCUUUUAUGUGGGAUGAAAUUAUUGACAGUACCACAUGAAUAAGGGGCUCCUAACUCUGUGCCAGCAGGAGCGGUAAUACAGAGGCCCCAAGCGUUAUCCGGAAUCACUGGGCGUAAAGGGUGUCGAGGCGGUUGUAUUAGUCGUUCGUAAAAUCUACGAGCUUAACUUGUAGGCGGCGAACGAAACGGUACGACUUGAGGUUUGGAGAGGUGCGUGGAACUCACGGUGUAGGGGUGAAAUCCGUUGAUAUCGUGGGGAACACCAAAGGCGAAGGCAGCGCACUGGCCAAAAUCUGACGCUCACACACGAAAGCUAGGGUAGCGAAGAGGAUUAGAUACCCUGUAGUCCCUGAGCGGGCUGGCAAGGCGCAU